CACAUUGGUACUGAGACACGGACCAAACUCCUACGGGAGGCAGCAGUGAGGAAUAUUGGUCAAUGGGCGUAAGCCUGAACCAGCCAAGUCGCGUGAGGGAUGAAGGUUCUAUGGAUCGUAAACCUCUUUUAUAAGGGAAUAAAGUGCGGGACGUGUCCCGUUUUGUAUGUACCUUAUGAAUAAGGAUCGGCUAACUCCGUGCCAGCAGCCGCGGUAAUACGGAGGAUCCGAGCGUUAUCCGGAUUUAUUGGGUUUAAAGGGUGCGUAGGCGGCCUUUUAAGUCAGCGGUGAAAGUCUGUGGCUCAACCAUAGAAUUGCCGUUGAAACUGGGAGGCUUGAGUAUGUUUGAGGCAGGCGGAAUGCGUGGUGUAGCGGUGAAAUGCUUAGAUAUCACGCAGAACCCCGAUUGCGAAGGCAGCCUGCCAAGCCAUGACUGACGCUGAUGCACGAAAGCGUGGGGAUCAAACAGGAUUAGAUACCCUGGUAGUCCACGCAGUAAACGAUGAUCACUAGCUGUUUGCGAUACACAGUAA
This 533-nucleotide ribosomal RNA is filed under the name uncultured bacterium. Its description in RNAcentral is "bacterial SSU rRNA". It matches the Rfam family "Bacterial small subunit ribosomal RNA", at positions 309 to 842 of the family's 1533-position model. The record is from RNAcentral.